Molecule: transfer RNA, 75 nt
Filed under: Marseillevirus LCMAC201
Lineage: Varidnaviria; Bamfordvirae; Nucleocytoviricota; Megaviricetes; Pimascovirales; Marseilleviridae
Description: tRNA-Ile
Rfam family: tRNA
About the family: Transfer RNA (tRNA) molecules are approximately 80 nucleotides in length. Their secondary structure includes four short double-helical elements and three loops (D, anti-codon, and T loops). Further hydrogen bonds mediate the characteristic L-shaped molecular structure. tRNAs have two regions of fundamental functional importance: the anti-codon, which is responsible for specific mRNA codon recognition, and the 3' end, to which the tRNAs corresponding amino acid is attached (by aminoacyl-tRNA synthetases). tRNAs cope with the degeneracy of the genetic code in two manners: having more than one tRNA (with a specific anti-codon) for a particular amino acid; and 'wobble' base-pairing, i.e. permitting non-standard base-pairing at the 3rd anti-codon position.
Source: RNAcentral
GCUCCUAUAGCUCAGUUGGUCCAGAGCGUGGUGCUUAUAACGCCAAGGUCGAGAGUUCAAGCCUCUCUAGGAGCA